This 456-nucleotide ribosomal RNA is filed under the name Bacillus cereus. Its description in RNAcentral is "bacterial SSU rRNA". It matches the Rfam family "Bacterial small subunit ribosomal RNA", at positions 67 to 503 of the family's 1533-position model. The record is from RNAcentral. Lineage: Bacteria; Bacillati; Bacillota; Bacilli; Caryophanales; Bacillaceae.
CGAAUGGAUUAAGAGCUUGCUCUUAUGAAGUUAGCGGCGGACGGGUGAGUAACACGUGGGUAACCUGCCCAUAAGACUGGGAUAACUCCGGGAAACCGGGGCUAAUACCGGAUAACAUUUUGAACCGCAUGGUUCGAAAUUGAAAGGCGGCUUCGGCUGUCACUUAUGGAUGGACCCGCGUCGCAUUAGCUAGUUGGUGAGGUAACGGCUCACCAAGGCAACGAUGCGUAGCCGACCUGAGAGGGUGAUCGGCCACACUGGGACUGAGACACGGCCCAGACUCCUACGGGAGGCAGCAGUAGGGAAUCUUCCGCAAUGGACGAAAGUCUGACGGAGCAACGCCGCGUGAGUGAUGAAGGCUUUCGGGUCGUAAAACUCUGUUGUUAGGGAAGAACAAGUGCUAGUUGAAUAAGCUGGCACCUUGACGGUACCUAACCAGAAAGCCACGGCUAACUA